UUCGGAAUGACGAGGUUUGUGACUGAGCGGCGGACGGGUGAGUAACGCGUGGGCAACCUGCCUCACACAGGGGGAUAGCAGUUGGAAACGACUGGUAAUACCGCAUAAGCGCACAGCUUCGCAUGAAGCGGUGUGAAAAACUCCGGUGGUGUGAGAUGGACCCGCGUCUGAUUAGGUAGUUGGUGCGGUAACGGCGCACCAAGCCGACGAUCAGUAGCCGACCUGAGAGGGUGACCGGCCACAUUGGGACUGAGACACGGCCCAAACUCC
Molecule: ribosomal RNA, 270 nt
Filed under: uncultured Lachnospiraceae bacterium
Lineage: Bacteria; Bacillati; Bacillota; Clostridia; Lachnospirales; Lachnospiraceae
Description: partial 16S ribosomal RNA
Rfam family: Bacterial small subunit ribosomal RNA
Source: RNAcentral